CAGACUUGGACUUGGUUAAUCAUCUGGGGUUCUCCCCAGUGCACUUUUCCAGUUCAGGCCAGCAUCAGUUUGGGCGGUUGGAUAAAGGUCUCUGUCACGUACCUCCUUUCGGGGAGGCCUUAUAGGGGAGACGUCAUACAACCAGCCUGGACUGAGGUCCGCGCAUCUGCUAGGAUGCUGGCGUAAUGGCUGUAAGCGG
This 199-nucleotide ribosomal RNA is filed under the name Didymellaceae sp. RNAcentral describes it as "partial large subunit ribosomal RNA". The record is from RNAcentral. Lineage: Eukaryota; Fungi; Ascomycota; Dothideomycetes; Pleosporales; Didymellaceae.